CCCGGCGCGCGCGUCUGGAUGCGAGACCACACGCGUCACAUAGGCCUUGGCGACGCCUACAGCGCCCACAAGACGAGGCGCUACGCCGAGACCGGCAGCGGCGCCCGCCGCCGUGGUCGACGACGAAGUCACGUGCGGAUAGGACCCGUGGUCAAUGUCCAGCAUAGUCGCCUGCGAGCACUCGACCAGCACGCGUCCACCUUUAUUGAUGGCCUCGGCCACGAGGUUUACGGUGUCACACACAAGGCCGCGCAGCGUUGUCUCAUAGUAGCCAUCGACAUAGCGUAUGGCAUAGGCCUCGGCGGCAGCGUCCAACGCCGUGUCGGUCAAGGUCAGCGAUGUGGUGCCGUCAUCACUGAAAACAUUUGUCGUCGCCGUUGCCGACACAAGGCCCAGGGUCACAAGGACCUCGAUCACGGUGGCAGGAUGCGCGCCGGCGUGGUAGGCCAAGAGGGCACGCACGCGGCGCACAAAGCGGUCACGAUGGGCGAGAUCGCCCACACGGACGCCCCGGCGCGCCACCUUGUCGGCAUAACAGGGACCCACGCCGCGACGCGUGGUGCCUACGGCGGCCCCGCGCGAUGCCGCCUCGCGCUCGCCAUGAGCGUCGAGCGCCUUGUGGAGGUCAAGGAGCACGUGGGCGCGGUCCGAGACGUGCAUACGCUGGCGCCAGCGCAUGCCAUGAUCGCGACCGAGUGUGGUCAUCUCGUCGACGAGCAUGCCCACAUCAACAACGACGCCGUGGCCAAUUACACAUGCAAUGUCGGGGUGGAGCGCGCCCGACGGUACCAGGCGCACCAUGCAGCGCUUGGCGGCGCUGCCCGCCGGGUCAGCCACCACAAUGGUGUGGGCCGCGUUGGGGCCGCCCGCGCAUCGGGCCACAUGGGUGUAGUCGCCCGCGGCGCACAAAUAGUCGAUGGCCUUGCCCUUGCCCUCGUCGCCCCACUGGGUGCCCACGACGGCGGUCACUGGCAAAACUGCGCCACGAUCACGCGGUGCCGACAUGAUGGCAAGAGAGUCGGUAGUGGCGGCACGGGUCACGACGGCCAUCGUGUAUGCUCGGCCUUUGUUUUGUUUUCUCCUCUGCUUUCCGUUCGGUGGUCUGUGCGUCUAUUUCUGGUGCAGUCGGCGCCUCGGACCGAGUCGCCGUUGUCGGGCAAGGGUCCUUUCGAGGCCGCGUGGACGGCGCCCAAUUACGUUAGGCCAUGAGGGCGUGCGCGCACGGGCCGACAUCUGCCGCAAACAAAAAGGUCCCUUGCGGUGCGCGCCCACUCGGCCACGACAGGGCCAAAGACAAGCAAAAAAGAAAAAACCCAAUCCCUUUUCUUUCGGCAUGAAUUUGUCUUUUUGACUUUUUCGAUUAGUCUUUUUUUUCACG
Molecule: long non-coding RNA, 1378 nt
Filed under: Pandoravirus celtis
Description: hypothetical ncRNA
Source: RNAcentral